Molecule: ribosomal RNA, 2531 nt
Filed under: wastewater metagenome
Description: bacterial LSU rRNA
Rfam family: Bacterial large subunit ribosomal RNA (bases 351-2531)
Source: RNAcentral
UGCCGCCUCCCGUAAUCUGGCGCACGUUUACGAACGUCACGCUUGAACCAGACCAGACGCUUGAGCGCAUCACGUCCGGGCUGUUCGGCGCACUGAUCGAGCCGCGUGUCCACUCGGGGAUUGCUGGCGUGUUGUGGACAAUCACGCCGGAUAUGAUCCCGUCAACGGGCGGCACAAUUCAGUUCCAAUUGUUUGGCGUUGGCACGCGAUUGCCAACGCAUACGUUGCGCGUCGAAGCCGGGCCGACCUCAACCGUCGUGAAGGAUGAAACCGGCUCGACGAUUGACACCGUUAGUCACACGAUUGCGGGCGGCGAUACCUAUUAUUUAGAGGUCAGCGGAAACAUCUUUCGGCUGGCAAUCAAUGGCGUCACAGAGACAAUUUACGAAGUCACAUCUCCCACGGAGUACCCGAUUCGGGCCACCGUGUAUGGUGAUAAUUCUUUUGUCAGUAGUCCGGCCAUCAUCACGCCGCCAACAUUCAGGGCUGCGUGCCGGAGCACGAACUCCUGCAUCUUGUCCAGCGUGCGUGCGUCACUCAAUGCCAGCAGUACGCGCCCGCGGCCGUACAGCUCGCCGGCCAUCUUCGUCGCACGCGCCACAAUCGUCGGAGGACCUAUCAAACUCCGAAUGCCAUAGGUCAGAAUACGGCAGUUAGGCGAUGGGGGCGAAGCUCCAUACGCCAAAAGGGAAACAGCCCAGACCGCCAUCUAAGGUCCCUAAAUACAUGCUCAGUGCUAAUAAGGAGGUGAGAUUUCUCAGACAGUGAGGAUGUUGGCUUAGAAGCAGCCACCAUUCAAAGAAAGCGUAACAGCUCACUCACUUAGAGAUCUUGCGCCACAAAUGAUCGGGGCUUAAGCAUGUUACCGAAGAUGCGGAUUGUAGCUCUCAAUCUUGUCCUUGAACGGACAGAUCGAGUGCAGGAUUGAGAGCUACAGUGGUAGGAGAACGUUCUGUGUGCGAUGAAGCCAAAGAGGUGACUCAUGGUGGAGCGCACGGAAGUGAAAAUGUUGGCACGAGUAACCGCAAUGCGAGUGAGAUUCUCGCACGCCGAAAGAACAAGGUUUCCUUCGCAAUGGAGAUCAUCGAAGGGUUAGCCGGUCCUAAGCCGAUGGCGACAGCCGCAGGCGAUGGAGGUGGGGUUAAUAUUCCCCAGCUUGUGCGUAGUGCGAUGGAGUGACGGAGUGCUGUAUCGUAGGCCCGUUAAGGAUUCGGGUGUGAGCCGUGAUUGUGCCGUAUAGGAAAAUCCGUACGGUAAGCGAGAGCGGAACAUAAAUGGGGAGUCCUCGGACGAACCAGAUCUACGGGAGCGCGCUUCCAAGAAAAACUUCUAAGCAUAACUACGUACGAUCCGUACCGCAAACCGACACAGGUGUUCAGGGCGAGUAGCCCAAGGCGAACGAGUGAGAGAUCCUCAAGGAACUCGGCAAAAAAGCGACCGUAAGUUAGCGAUAAGGUCCGGCCUGCGCAAGCAGGCUCGCAGCUAAAGAUUCCCAACCGACUGUUUACCAAAAACACAGCUCCCUGCAAACUCGUAAGAGGAAGUAUAGGGGGUGAUGCCUGACCAAUGCCGGAAGGUCAACCAUGAUCGUUGCGUGCCGCAAGGUACGUGGUGAAUUAUGUAAGCCCCGGUCAAUGUCGGCGAUAACUAUAAUCGUCCUAAGGUAGCGAAAUUCCUUGUCUGGUAAGUUCAGACGCGCACGAAUGGUAUAACGAGUUGGGAACUGUCUCGGGGAUUUGCUCGGUGAAAAUACAAGGGCGGUGAAGAUGCCGCCUUCCUGCAGCUAGACGAAAAGACCCCAGAAGCUUUACUGUAGUUUGAUAUUGGGAAUACGAGUGCUCUGCGUAGCGUAAGGGGGAGACUUUGAAGCAGUGACUUUGGUUGCUGUGGAGUCGCCAAUGCAACACCAUCUUUUGUUUCUGUAAUUUCUAACCCCUAUGGAGAAACCAUAGGGAGACAGUAUGUGGCAGGCAGUUUCGGUGGGGCGCUGUCCUUAACUUUCAGCGUCACAGGUUCGAAUCCACGGAUGUGUUCACGUCCGACGAAUCAAAAUAAAAUUAAAGGGGGACAUGCGUGAGCAAUCACGCAAUGAACAUUCAACUAUAUGCUGGAACACCCGCGCAUAUUCGGGUACUCGCAAGAGUAACAAUCCCGGAGCGAUGCGGAUUAUCAGCAGGCAACCACAAUUGGUGGGAGCCUCAGAGACUACACGUUGGACAUCCAUCUAAACAGUGGAUGAAGAUAUAGUCCGACCUCUAUGGCGACAUAGAGAAUACGACAGAAAUGAUCGUAUCCAUCUUCCAAAAGAUGCGUAACACAGGCCUAAAAAGUAACGGAGGAGCCUAUUAAGGUCGGCUAGGCGCGAAUGGAAACCGUGCCGAUAGUGUAAUGGCAUAAGGCGGCUUGACUGCAAGGGGUACGUCCCAAGCAGGCGCGAAAGCGGAGCAUAGUGAACCGACCCUCUGCAUUAGAUGCAAGGGAAGAUUAACGGAUAAAAGUUACUCUGGGGAUAACAGGCUGGUAUUGCCUAA